This 248-nucleotide ribosomal RNA is filed under the name uncultured Actinomycetales bacterium. Its description in RNAcentral is "partial 16S ribosomal RNA". It matches the Rfam family "Bacterial small subunit ribosomal RNA", at positions 82 to 334 of the family's 1533-position model. The record is from RNAcentral. Lineage: Bacteria; Bacillati; Actinomycetota; Actinomycetes; Actinomycetales.
GGUAGGUACUCGAGUGGCGAACGGGUGAGUAACACGUGGGUGAUCUGCCCUGCACUCUGGGAUAAGCCUUGGAAACUGGGUCUAAUACCGGAUAGGACCGCACUUUAGUGUGUGUGGUGGAAAGUUUUUUCGGUGUAGGAUGAGCCCGCGGCCUAUCAGCUUGUUGGUGGGGUAAUGGCCUACCAAGGCGGCACGGGUAGCCGGACUGAGAGGUUGGUCGGCCACAUUGGGACUGAGAUACGGCCCAG